Non-coding RNA from Solea senegalensis (Senegalese sole), 1242 nucleotides. The record is from the annotation of a RefSeq genome assembly. NCBI's taxonomy places the organism in Eukaryota, Metazoa, Chordata, Actinopteri, Pleuronectiformes, Soleidae.
CUCUGAUAAAAGAAAAAGGUAAAAAAAAUAACAUCACUGAUAAGAUGCUUGAAAUAAUUGUAUUGUGUAUUUAACAUGAAAAAUCUUCCAUGACAGAAUUCACUCCAGACUUUCAGCUGUUUUCUGGUAAUCACAUGUUUCCUACACUAUAGUUUACAACAUUUAUUCCUGCUCAUGUUGCAGAGAAUGUACACAGUCACAUGUGUCAGUGGUGAUGGGACACAGCAGGACAUGUUGAGGACAGCUGCAUUUGACUGAUUCUGUGUGUUUGCAUAUGUGUCCUCCCUCUUUGUUCUUGGCCGUUAAGAGUCCAGUGUUGAUCAGUGAGUGUCCAGGUCUGGAGACACUGACUCACUGGCAGCACAAUGAUGAUGAUGUGUAUGACUCUACUGCUGGUCACUCUGGAGCUCCUUGUUCAGGGUUCAUCAGGAGACAUCACCAUGACUCAGUCUCCUGGGUCUCUGUCUACUGCUCCAGGACAGACUGUCUCCAUCAAAUGUAAAUCCAGUCAACUUAUAGGUGAUGAUGUUAACUGGUACCUGCAGAAACCUGCAGAACCUCCUAAACUCCUGAUUGCAGAUACAACAUAUCGUCAGUCUGGAGUUCCAGAUCGCUUCAGUGCAACUUAUCAUCAGACUGACUUCACUCUGACCAUCAGAGAUGUUCAGACUGAAGAUGGAGGAGUUUAUUACUGUCAGCAGCACAACAGCUUCCCGCUCACACAGUGAUAAAACGUCGUACAAAAACCUCCCUCAGCUGCAGAGGAACUAAUGUGACUCAACAGCUGCACACACACUAACAUAUCACAGCAGACGAUGAACAUCUUUCUCACACUGAACAUUUAAACAGUGCAGAGUUCAGACGUGAUAAUAACACCUUUAAUAAUAAAAUCACUUAGAUGUUUGACCACAUGUUUCUACAGAGAAUGUUUAUGUGCUGAGUCUGAGGUCAAGUCUUUAAGUUGACAUGUGAGUCAAGAAGAGAAUAUUAGAGGAUUUUUUCCAAUUAUAACAAACAUUAACCGCGUUGAACUACUUUACUAAACAUAUACUCAAUUAUAUGAACUGUAUUUAUAUAGUAACUACGCUUGUACAUGUAUUUAUUAUUUUCUUAUUACACACACCAUUGAUUUUAUAAAGUGGCUCAGAGAUUCUUUAAUAAAUCAGCCUCUAUGCAGAUUACAUUCUAUGAUACAUGUAAGACAUCCACAUUUUCUUUUAAUUUUUUAAUCUCAUCACUCUU